RNAcentral lists this ribosomal RNA (426 nucleotides) under Klebsiella pneumoniae. RNAcentral describes it as "bacterial SSU rRNA". It matches the Rfam family "Bacterial small subunit ribosomal RNA", at positions 1 to 425 of the family's 1533-position model. Lineage: Bacteria; Pseudomonadati; Pseudomonadota; Gammaproteobacteria; Enterobacterales; Enterobacteriaceae. The record is from RNAcentral.
AAAUUGAAGAGUUUGAUCAUGGCUCAGAUUGAACGCUGGCGGCAGGCCUAACACAUGCAAGUCGAGCGGUAGCACAGAGAGCUUGCUCUCGGGUGACGAGCGGCGGACGGGUGAGUAAUGUCUGGGAAACUGCCUGAUGGAGGGGGAUAACUACUGGAAACGGUAGCUAAUACCGCAUAACGUCGCAAGACCAAAGUGGGGGACCUUCGGGCCUCAUGCCAUCAGAUGUGCCCAGAUGGGAUUAGCUAGUAGGUGGGGUAACGGCUCACCUAGGCGACGAUCCCUAGCUGGUCUGAGAGGAUGACCAGCCACACUGGAACUGAGACACGGUCCAGACUCCUACGGGAGGCAGCAGUGGGGAAUAUUGCACAAUGGGCGCAAGCCUGAUGCAGCCAUGCCGCGUGUGUGAAGAAGGCCUUCGGGUUG